This 24-nucleotide non-coding RNA is filed under the name Arabidopsis thaliana (thale cress). Lineage: Eukaryota; Viridiplantae; Streptophyta; Magnoliopsida; Brassicales; Brassicaceae. The record is from RNAcentral.
UCGAUUACUUAUGAUUCCUAGAAU